GACAACCUCAGUUCGGAUUGAAGGCUGAAAUUCGCCUUCAUGAAGCUGGAAUUGCUAGUAAUGGCAGGUCAGCAUACCGCCGUGAAUACGUUCCCGGGCCUUGUACACACCGCCCGUCACACCAUGAGAGUUGGGAAUACCCGAAGCCUGUGAGCUAACUUUUAGAGGCAGCAGUCGAAGGUAGAAUCAAUGAUUGGGGUGAAGUCGUAACAAGGUACC
Molecule: ribosomal RNA, 219 nt
Filed under: uncultured bacterium
Lineage: Bacteria
Description: partial 16S ribosomal RNA
Rfam family: Bacterial small subunit ribosomal RNA
Source: RNAcentral